GGGUCAGUAGGUUGGUCGUGCCACCGGUACGUACUGGUCUCACUGAUUCCUCCUUCCUGAAGAACCGUAAUGCCAUUAAUUUGGUGUUGCGGGGAAACAGGACUGUUACUUUGAAAAAAUUAGAGUGUUUAACGCAAGCUAACGCUUGAAUACAUUAGCAUGGAAUAAUGAAAUAGGACGAUCGAUCCUAUUUUGAUGGUUUCUAGGAUUGACGUA
This 216-nucleotide ribosomal RNA is filed under the name Glomeromycotina sp. RNAcentral describes it as "partial small subunit ribosomal RNA". The stretch from base 40 to 216 matches the Rfam family "Eukaryotic small subunit ribosomal RNA", at positions 686 to 864 of the family's 1831-position model. The record is from RNAcentral. Lineage: Eukaryota; Fungi; Glomeromycota.